AGCAGCCGCGGUAAUUCCAGCUCCAAUAGCGUAUAUUAAAGUUGUUGCAGUUAAAAAGCUCGUAGUUGAAUUUCGGGAUCAAAGGAUCGGUCAUGCCUUGGUAUGUACUGGUUUUAUUGGUUCUCACCUUCUAAAGAACCAUAAUGUCAUUCAUUUGAUGUUAUGGGGAAUUAGGACUGUUACCUUGAAAAAUUAGAGUGUUUAAAGCAGGCUUACGCUUGAAUACAUUAGCAUGGAAUAAUGAAAUAGGACAUCAGAUUCUAUUUUGUUGGUUUCUAGGAUCGAUGUAAUGAUUAAUAGGGAUAGUUGGGGGCAUUAGUAUUCAAUUGUCAGAGGUGAAAUUCUUGGAUUUAUUGAAGACUAACUACUGCGAAAGCAUUUGCCAAGGAUGUUUUCAUUAAUCAAGAACGAAAGUUAGGGGAUCGAAGACGAUCAGAUACCGUCGUAGUCUUAACCACAAACUAUGCCGACUAGGGAUCGGAUGAUGUUAAUUUUAUAAUGACUCAUUCC
This 510-nucleotide ribosomal RNA is filed under the name uncultured Glomus. Its description in RNAcentral is "SSU rRNA". It matches the Rfam family "Eukaryotic small subunit ribosomal RNA", at positions 569 to 1082 of the family's 1831-position model. The record is from RNAcentral. Lineage: Eukaryota; Fungi; Glomeromycota; Glomeromycetes; Glomerales; Glomeraceae.